AAAUUGAAGAGUUUGAUCAUGGCUCAGAUUGAACGCUGGCGGCAGGCCUAACACAUGCAAGUCGAACGGUAACAGGAAGCAGCUUGCUGCUUUGCUGACGAGUGGCGGACGGGUGAGUAAUGUCUGGGAAACUGCCUGAUGGAGGGGGAUAACUACUGGAAACGGUGGCUAAUACCGCAUAACGUCGCAAGACCAAAGAGGGGGACCUUCGGGCCUCUUGCCAUCAGAUGUGCCCAGAUGGGAUUAGCUUGUUGGUGAGGUAACGGCUCACCAAGGCGACGAUCCCUAGCUGGUCUGAGAGGAUGACCAGCCACACUGGAACUGAGACACGGUCCAGACUCCUACGGGAGGCAGCAGUGGGGAAUAUUGCACAAUGGGCGCAAGCCUGAUGCAGCCAUGCCGCGUGUAUGAAGAAGGCCUUCGGGUUGUAAAGUACUUUCAGCGGGGAGGAAGGUGUUGUGGUUAAUAACCGCAGCAAUUGACGUUACCCGCAGAAGAAGCACCGGCUAACUCCGUGCCAGCAGCCGCGGUAAUACGGAGGGUGCAAGCGUUAAUCGGAAUUACUGGGCGUAAAGCGCACGCAGGCGGUCUGUCAAGUCGGAUGUGAAAUCCCCGGGCUCAACCUGGGAACUGCAUUCGAAACUGGCAGGCUUGAGUCUUGUAGAGGGGGGUAGAAUUCCAGGUGUAGCGGUGAAAUGCGUAGAGAUCUGGAGGAAUACCGGUGGCGAAGGCGGCCCCCUGGACAAAGACUGACGCUCAGGUGCGAAAGCGUGGGGAGCAAACAGGAUUAGAUACCCUGGUAGUCCACGCCGUAAACGAUGUCUACUUGGAGGUUGUGCCCUUGAGGCGUGGCUUCCGGAGCUAACGCGUUAAGUAGACCGCCUGGGGAGUACGGCCGCAAGGUUAAAACUCAAAUGAAUUGACGGGGGCCCGCACAAGCGGUGGAGCAUGUGGUUUAAUUCGAUGCAACGCGAAGAACCUUACCUGGUCUUGACAUCCACAGAAGAAUCCAGAGAUGGAUUUGUGCCUUCGGGAACUGUGAGACAGGUGCUGCAUGGCUGUCGUCAGCUCGUGUUGUGAAAUGUUGGGUUAAGUCCCGCAACGAGCGCAACCCUUAUCCUUUGUUGCCAGCGGUUAGGCCGGGAACUCAAAGGAGACUGCCAGUGAUAAACUGGAGGAAGGUGGGGAUGACGUCAAGUCAUCAUGGCCCUUACGACCAGGGCUACACACGUGCUACAAUGGCGCAUACAAAGAGAAGCGACCUCGCGAGAGCAAGCGGACCUCAUAAAGUGCGUCGUAGUCCGGAUUGGAGUCUGCAACUCGACUCCAUGAAGUCGGAAUCGCUAGUAAUCGUGGAUCAGAAUGCCACGGUGAAUACGUUCCCGGGCCUUGUACACACCGCCCGUCACACCAUGGGAGUGGGUUGCAAAAAGAAGUAGGUAGCUUAACCUUCGGGAGGGCGCUUACCACUUUGUGAUUCAUGACUGGGGUGAAGUCGUAACAAGGUAACCGUAGGGGAACCUGCGGUUGGAUCACCUCCUUA
This 1543-nucleotide ribosomal RNA is filed under the name Salmonella enterica subsp. enterica serovar Enteritidis str. EC20110353. RNAcentral's name for it is "bacterial SSU rRNA". It matches the Rfam family "Bacterial small subunit ribosomal RNA". RNAcentral also lists the same sequence under 2 other names. Lineage: Bacteria; Pseudomonadati; Pseudomonadota; Gammaproteobacteria; Enterobacterales; Enterobacteriaceae. The record is from RNAcentral.